Molecule: signal recognition particle RNA, 148 nt
Filed under: Homo sapiens (human)
Lineage: Eukaryota; Metazoa; Chordata; Mammalia; Primates; Hominidae
Description: Metazoan signal recognition particle RNA
Rfam family: Metazoan signal recognition particle RNA
About the family: The signal recognition particle (SRP) is a universally conserved ribonucleoprotein. It is involved in the co-translational targeting of proteins to membranes. The eukaryotic SRP consists of a 300-nucleotide 7S RNA and six proteins: SRPs 72, 68, 54, 19, 14, and 9.
Source: Rfam by way of RNAcentral
GCCAGGCGUGGUGGCAGGCGCCUGUAAUCCCAGCUACUCAGGAGGCUGAGGCAGGAGAAUUGCUUGAACCCGGGAGGCAGAGGUUGCAGUGAGCCAAGAUAGGGCCACUGCACUCCAGCCUGGGCAACAAAGCAAGACCCUGCCUCGA